GGGGAUGCCGGGCAUCGAUGAAUUGGCACCUUUAAAUUCGGCAAGCCGAGUUCGAACACUACUCGUAAAUCAGGUUCAACCUAAAGUGCUGACUUAAAAGCACGUGUGGGAGAAUUGGUCGCCAAGAUCAAUCCUUUCAUCUCUCGUUCUGCGUACGCAUUCGCUUAAGCUGGAACGAAGAGCGUCUUAAUUUUGCUUCCCCGACUGCAUUAUCAAGGCGAAAACCAAUCGGGGUGCGCUGCAGCAGUACUGUAGUUAGACUCGCUUCAGCCAAGACCACUAACUGCAAACCGUCCUUCAUCGGACAAAAAGCUUGUACAACCGGAUUUUCAGACCAUUUCAGACGGGGGUUCAACUCCCCCCAUCUCCACCA
This 373-nucleotide transfer-messenger RNA is filed under the name Patescibacteria group. RNAcentral's name for it is "UBA12042 sp001002325 Standard tmRNA". It matches the Rfam family "transfer-messenger RNA". From Rfam's summary of the family: Bacterial tmRNA, also known as 10Sa RNA or SsrA, is named for its dual tRNA and mRNA-like properties. Its role is to liberate the mRNA from a stalled ribosome. To accomplish this part of the tmRNA is used as a reading frame that ends in a translation stop signal. The record is from RNAcentral. RNAcentral also lists the same sequence under 2 other names.